This 211-nucleotide ribosomal RNA is filed under the name uncultured bacterium. RNAcentral describes it as "partial 16S ribosomal RNA". It matches the Rfam family "Bacterial small subunit ribosomal RNA", at positions 29 to 230 of the family's 1533-position model. The record is from RNAcentral.
AAUGAACGCUGGCGGCGCGCCUAAUACAUGCAAGUCGAGCGAGAAGACGUAGCAAUACGUUUGUAAAGCGGCGAACGGGUGAGGAAUACAUGGGUAACCUACCCUCGAGUGGGGAAUAACUAGCCGAAAGGUUAGCUAAUACCGCGUACGCUUCUUGGACUUCGGUUCAGGGAGGAAAGCGAUGCCGAGGGUAUCGCGCUCUUGGAUGGGG